This 236-nucleotide ribosomal RNA is filed under the name uncultured bacterium. RNAcentral describes it as "partial 16S ribosomal RNA". It matches the Rfam family "Bacterial small subunit ribosomal RNA", at positions 15 to 240 of the family's 1533-position model. The record is from RNAcentral.
GAUCAUGGCUCAGGAUGAACGCUAGCUACAGGCUUAACACAUGCAAGUCGAGGGGAAACGACAUCGAAAGCCUGCUUUUGAUGGGCGUCGACCGGCGCACGGGUGAGUAACGCGUAUCCAACCUGCCCAUCACUUGGGAAUAACCUUGCGAAAGUAAGACUAAUGCCCAAUGACAUCCCACGAAGGCAUCCGAAUGGGAUUAAAGAUUUAUCGGUGAUGGAUGGGGAUGCGUCUAA